RNAcentral lists this ribosomal RNA (642 nucleotides) under uncultured marine eukaryote. RNAcentral describes it as "SSU rRNA". It matches the Rfam family "Eukaryotic small subunit ribosomal RNA", at positions 616 to 1258 of the family's 1831-position model. The record is from RNAcentral.
UGGUUAAAAAGCUCGUAGUUGGAUCUCAACAGCCUUGNAAGCGGUUAACUUUGUAGUUUUACUGCUUUAUAGGCUGUGCUUUUGCUGGAGGUUUAGGGGUGCUCUUGAUCGAGUGUCUCUGGAUGCCAGCAGGUUUACUUUGAAAAAAUUAGAGUGCUCAAAGCAGGCUAAAAUGCCUGAAUAUUCGUGCAUGGAAUAAUAGAAUAGGAUGUCGAUCCUAUUUUGUUGGUUUUCGGGACUCGACAUAAUGAUAAAUAGGGACAGUCGGGGGCAUUUGUAUUCAAACGACAGAGGUGAAAUUCUUGGACCGUUUGAAGACAAACUACUGCGAAAGCAUUUGCCAAGAAUGUUUUCAUUAAUCAAGAACGAAAGUUAGAGGUUCGAAGGCGAUUAGAUACCGCCCUAGUUCUAACCAUAAACGAUGCCAGCUAGCGAUCUGCCUGCGUUUUUACUGUAGACUGGGCAGGAAGCUUCCGGGAAACCAAAGCAUUUGGGUUCCAGGGGAAGUAUGGUUGCAAAGCUGAAACUUAAAGGAAUUGACGGAAGGGCACCACCAGGAGUGGAGCCUGUGGCUUAAUUUGACUCAACACGGGAAAUCUCACCAGGCCCGGACACUGGAAGGAUUGACAGAUUGAUAGCUCU